CGGCACUCUGGAGACGCCCGCGGAGCGCGGGGGCCGAAGGUGAAAGCGCGGGGGAACCUGCGCGAAUCUCUCAGGCAAAAGGACAGAGCG
Molecule: non-coding RNA, 90 nt
Filed under: bovine gut metagenome
Also listed under: 1 other name
Description: Glycine riboswitch
Rfam family: Glycine riboswitch aptamer
About the family: This family represents the bacterial glycine riboswitch.
Source: RNAcentral